CCUACAAGCAUUAAUUAAUUAACACCUUGUGAUAGGUAUGCUCGCCUGGGAUAUUGAAUGUAGGUGUGAUCAAUAAUGGGAUGGGGCAGGAAUCAAAGACAGACACUGCGACAUAGGGUGCUCUGGGGCCAGCGUUUCACAAUGCUAUCGCGUGCACACCCCCCAGAUUAAAAUACCAAAUGCAUGGAGAGCUCCCGUGACUGAUUAAUAGGGUAAUAGACCCGUGAUCCAUCGUGAUGUCUUAUUUAAGGGGAACGUGUGG
RNAcentral lists this long non-coding RNA (262 nucleotides) under Homo sapiens (human). RNAcentral describes it as "HSALNT0238728". Lineage: Eukaryota; Metazoa; Chordata; Mammalia; Primates; Hominidae. The record is from RNAcentral.